GCACCCGUAGCGCAAUUGGAUAGAGUAUUGCCCUCCGACGGCAAAGGUUGUGGGUUCGACUCCCAUCGGGUGUACCA
This 77-nucleotide transfer RNA is filed under the name Clostridiales bacterium. RNAcentral's name for it is "tRNA-Arg". It matches the Rfam family "tRNA". From Rfam's summary of the family: Transfer RNA (tRNA) molecules are approximately 80 nucleotides in length. RNAcentral also lists the same sequence under 2 other names. The record is from RNAcentral. Lineage: Bacteria; Bacillati; Bacillota; Clostridia; Eubacteriales.